GCGUGAGUGAUGAAGGCUCUCGGGUCGUAAAGCUCUGUCAGAGGGGAAGAACCUCCUGUCGGUUAAUACCCGACAGGCCUGACGGUACCCUCAAAGGAAGCACCGGCUAACUCCGUGCCAGCAGCCGCGGUAAUACGGAGGGUGCAAGCGUUGUUCGGAAUUAUUGGGCGUAAAGCGCGUGUAGGCGGUCCGCUAAGUCUGAUGUGAAAGCCCUGGGCUCAACCCAGGAAGUGCAUUGGAAACUGACGGACUUGAGUACGGGAGAGGAAAGUGGAAUUCCGAGUGUAGGGGUGAAAUCCGU
Molecule: ribosomal RNA, 301 nt
Filed under: uncultured bacterium
Lineage: Bacteria
Description: bacterial SSU rRNA
Rfam family: Bacterial small subunit ribosomal RNA
Source: RNAcentral